This 549-nucleotide ribosomal RNA is filed under the name uncultured bacterium. RNAcentral describes it as "bacterial SSU rRNA". It matches the Rfam family "Bacterial small subunit ribosomal RNA", at positions 355 to 897 of the family's 1533-position model. The record is from RNAcentral.
UGGGGAAUUUUGGACAAUGGGCGAAAGCCUGAUCCAGCAAUGCCGCGUGUGUGAAGAAGGCCUUCGGGUUGUAAAGCACUUUUGUCCGGAAAGAAAUGGCUCUGGUUAAUACCUGGGGUCGAUGACGGUACCGGAAGAAUAAGCACCGGCUAACUACGUGCCAGCAGCCGCGGUAAUACGUAGGGUGCAAGCGUUAAUCGGAAUUACUGGGCGUAAAGCGUGCGCAGGCGGUUAUGCAAGACAGAGGUGAAAUCCCCGGGCUCAACCUGGGAACUGCCUUUGUGACUGCAUAGCUAGAGUACGGUAGAGGGGGAUGGAAUUCCGCGUGUAGCAGUGAAAUGCGUAGAUAUGCGGAGGAACACCGAUGGCGAAGGCAAUCCCCUGGACCUGUACUGACGCUCAUGCACGAAAGCGUGGGGAGCAAACAGGAUUAGAUACCCUGGUAGUCCACGCCCUAAACGAUGUCAACUGGUUGUUGGGAGGGUUUCUUCUCAGUAACGUAGCUAACGCGUGAAGUUGACCGCCUGGGGAGUACGGCCGCAAGGUUGA